Marmota monax (woodchuck) is the source of this 704-nucleotide long non-coding RNA. RefSeq lists it as uncharacterized. The record is from RefSeq and is a predicted model, not a curated record. NCBI's taxonomy places the organism in Eukaryota, Metazoa, Chordata, Mammalia, Rodentia, Sciuridae. The transcript is spliced from 3 exons.
UUCAGAUGCCUCAAUGUCCACUGCCCAUGGAUAAGAGACCACAGCUCAGAGACAUUUUCUAAGGAGGCCAAAAUGCCUCCACAAAGGAGGCCCAGCAUGAUCCAGAGAGGUGGACACCCAGAGCCCUUUCUGCAGCACAUGGAGACCGGCUGGGAAGCAGAUGACCUGCUUCCAGGCUGAGUGCAGGGCAAACUGGACAGUGCCCACUCCCAGGUACAUGCUGACAUCUCUUCCACCUGAGCAGUGCCAGGCUCUGCUUCAGAACCUGGUAUGAUGGCACAGAGAAGUCCCCUGAACCAGCAGUCAACAGGCUAUGAGGGUGCAGUGUGGGGAAAGCAGUCAAGCCCGCGCGGCGCGAUUGUGAGGGGCUCUGCUGGAAUUUGGCAGCGCAGAGGCUUGGAGAGCUGCCCCAUGCUGGCUCCUAUUCAGCGGGCCGGUUUUCCUCGAGCUUUGGAAGUUUCACUCAGCCAUGCACUCAAUGGCUUCACAAAGCUGAUUACAAGCUUCAGCGCAUUCCUGAAGGAGCCAAAAGCGACGCAGGUGCAAACGAGCCGAGGGAGCCCCUUAUCCCGGUGACAGAAUGGGACAAGCUGGGAAAGGCUUGGACCACACAAAUCCAAGGCUCACCAGGCAGCAGAAAGCCUGCCUUGGGAACCGGGGGUCAUUAUCCGCCCUAUUCAGCGGGGCCCGGGGACCCUGGGGGC